Molecule: ribosomal RNA, 253 nt
Filed under: uncultured bacterium
Lineage: Bacteria
Description: partial 16S ribosomal RNA
Rfam family: Bacterial small subunit ribosomal RNA
Source: RNAcentral
UACAGAGGUCCCGAGCGUUGUUCGGAUUCAUUGGGCGUAAAGGGUGCGUAGGCGGCUUCCUAAGUUUGAUGUGAAAUCCUGGGGCUCAACCCUGGAACUGCAUUGAAUACUGGGAGGCUAGAGUACUGGAGAGGAAACUGGAAUUUACGGUGUAGCAGUGAAAUGCGUAGAGAUCGUAAGGAAGACCAGUGGCGAAGGCGAGUUUCUGGACAGUUACUGACGCUGAGGCACGAAGGCCAGGGGAGCAAACAGG